Myotis davidii is the source of this 75-nucleotide non-coding RNA. Lineage: Eukaryota; Metazoa; Chordata; Mammalia; Chiroptera; Vespertilionidae. The record is from Rfam.
GGUGGUUCUUGGAUGAUGCACCCUGAAAUCAGGCUCCCUUCUCUCUGGUUCUGGGUGCAUCACCCGAGAAUGGCA